CCGAGUUUACAACUCCCAAACCCCUGUGAACAUACCUAUAUGUUGCCUCGGCGGAUCAGCCCGCGCCCCGUAAAACGGGACGGCCCGCCGCAGGAUCCACAAACUCUGUUUUUAUUGUAACUUCUGAGUAACAAAACAAGUAAGUCA
RNAcentral lists this unclassified non-coding RNA (147 nucleotides) under soil metagenome. RNAcentral's name for it is "partial internal transcribed spacer 1". The record is from RNAcentral.